Molecule: long non-coding RNA, 420 nt
Organism: Dermacentor silvarum
Lineage: Eukaryota; Metazoa; Arthropoda; Arachnida; Ixodida; Ixodidae
Exons: 3
Source: RefSeq, a predicted model, not a curated record
GGGACAGGAAGUGGUCUACGAUUGCCCCACCGGAAACCUGCUGGUCGGAAGUGGCUCCCGGAAGUGCGCCACAUCUGGCCUUUGGACCGGUAGUGCUCCGUCGUGCAAGUCUGACUACUGCACGGCGCUGUCUCCGGUGCCGAGCUCCAGCCUGGACGUGCAGUGACACCGGUACGAUGAGGGGGCGCAUUACAAGUGCGACAGCGGGCACGAGCUCAUCCGCAACGACAGCCACUACUGCCAGCUCGGAGGGACGUGGAGCGGAGACGAGCCCACCUGCAAAUGAAGAUGGUGACGUGUACCUAGUCAACGGCACCUCGACUUACCAGAGCGUGGCCCGUUACUCGUGCGGCGAGAACUUCACAACGCACGGUGUGGACAUGAGGACGUGCCUAGAGACAGGUGUUUGGAGAGAGAUAA